RNAcentral lists this long non-coding RNA (1182 nucleotides) under Setaria italica (foxtail millet). Its description in RNAcentral is "long non-coding RNA (SITA_LNC007361)". Lineage: Eukaryota; Viridiplantae; Streptophyta; Magnoliopsida; Poales; Poaceae. The record is from RNAcentral.
UACUAUACUGCCCCAACAUGCGACAAAGUCUCUCAGCCUAGAUGCAUGGUUAGUGCGCAGCUGAACCUGCUAUCUUUCCCCAUGCUACAAUAGCCUCAGGCGAUUUCGAGGGCACUCUCCUCUUCCCUCCGUUGAUCCGCCGGCCCCCUUCCCCCCGACGCCCUCAGGGCACCGGAGUGGCUAGGGGAGGUCGGCACCUUGGCGGGUGGGACCUGUAUAGCUGUAGAUGUAGGCCUUCUAGCUUCCUUUUAUCGGUGAUGCCGCGAUGGCGCUUAUGUUAUCGUCUAGGGUUCCCUUCCCCUGUGCGUCUCCGGCGGCGGCGGUGUCGGCGACCCUCCAGGGAGGGUCACAGGAGGCUUUUGCUCCUCCUCGUGGUCUUCGCUGAUGUCGCCGGCGGCAGCGUCAUCUCCGCCAACUAUGGAGUGAGGUUAGUGUUCCCCUUUUCCACAGCUGUGAACUGGAUCUCCCUUGUGUGGGGCUUGUGUCCUGGUUGUUGCCGACCUCUGGUUUGAGCGGCACAGCUGUGGAAUUCUUCUUCUAGGUCACCGAGUUCCUCAGCGAUGCCGGACUACUUCUCUUCCAAGAUCAAGGCGAUGAAGGCCGAUGUGCGCCAGAGGGGAGACGUCUUGCGGCAAAAAGCUGGAGGUCUCGUCGAGCAUCUUGGUUGAGUUCUUCUCCCUGCUGUUGUGUCUCUUCUUUGAUUCCGGAGGAACCGGAAACGGCUCGACAUGCGGGAGCUCUGCAUCAGAUUCAAGGACCGCAGUUUCAAAUUUUAUAUUUGUUAGGGUCUUGUACGCCAUUCUACAUUGCUAGGAAUGAGUGCUGUGGACUUGGAUGUAAUUCUGAAUUUCCCCAGGGUGUUGUUUGUAAGAGCCCGGCUCUUUUAGUAUAUGGGAUCCAGCCCCUUUGCAAAAAGAAAAAAAAAAAGCCUAGAUGCAUGGUUGAUUCUUUGCAAGGCAAAGGCUACUGCUACCACUAGCAGUCGGCAGGAAGAGACAAGGCAGCUAGUUCUGUUACACCCACGGUAAAUUAUGUUUUCCUCUUUGGAUCGGUUUGGGUUACUUGCUCUAAACAAAGCAUGGGAUGGAGUGGUUACUGAAUCAUACGAGUAUUAGCGAACUACAGGUAGUAGUCAAUGCAUUUGCACCAACCGCGUGCCGUGCCAUAUGAAAGCGUUAAGAG